RNAcentral lists this ribosomal RNA (461 nucleotides) under uncultured bacterium. Its description in RNAcentral is "partial 16S ribosomal RNA". It matches the Rfam family "Bacterial small subunit ribosomal RNA", at positions 338 to 795 of the family's 1533-position model. The record is from RNAcentral.
CCUACGGGAGGCAGCAGUGAGGAAUAUUGGUCAAUGGACGCAAGUCUGAACCAGCCAUGCCGCGUGCAGGAAGACGGCUCUAUGAGUUGUAAACUGCUUUUGUACGAGGGUAAACGCAGAUACGCGUAUCUGUCUGAAAGUAUCGUACGAAUAAGGAUCGGCUAACUCCGUGCCAGCAGCCGCGGUAAUACGGAGGAUUCAAGCGUUAUCCGGAUUUAAUGGGUUUAAAGGGUGUGUAGGCGGUCGGAUAAGUUAGAGGUGAAAUCCCGAGGCUCAACUUCGGAAUUGCCACUGAUACUGUUCGGCUAGAGAGUAGUUGCGGUAGGCGGAAUGGAUGGUGUAGCGGUGAAAUGCUUAGAGAUCAUACAGAACACCGAUUGCGAAGGCAGCUUACCAAGCUACUUCUGACGUUGAGGCACGAAAGCGGGGGGAGCAAACAGGAUUAGAUACCCCUGGUAGUC